GAUAUCCAGACAUCAAAAAUUUGGAGGAACAAGGGAGGUUCAGUAGGGAGGUUCAGUAGUAGUUAGUUUUAUAAACUCAAGUGGAUGAGUGGCUCUCAUUGGUCAGUGACAUCUUUAGCCCUUCUAUAUUUUGUCAAAAUAAAGAAGGAGAUCCCGGGGUUGGGGAUUUAGCUCAGUGGUAGAGCGCUUGCCUAGGAAGCGCAAGGCCCUGGGUUCGGUCCCCAGCUCCGAAAAAAAGAACCAAAAAAAAAAAAAAAAAAAGAAGAGGAAGGAGAUCCCAUCAUUGCUGGCUAAGAGAGAACACACAGGUAAGCUCUGUUCACAUUUCAGUGACUCCAGAUCCAUGCUACAUUGCCACUCCCAGUUUCCCCUGGACAACUUAGUGUGUUUGCAAAACACAGGGAGUAGGAUACAAUCGGUGGCUCUUAACUCAUGGGGUUAUGGUGGGAAUUAAAUGCCUUAGCUGGGUGUCCACACAUCAGAAAGGGGUUGGUUAGCUCUUAUUUGACUGUGUGUUUUGUCUUUUAGGAUGGAGAGGUAGAAGGCCAUCCGGUCUGGGCGUUAAUUUAUUACUGCAUGCGCUGUGGAGACCUGCUUGCUGCAUCACAAGUCGUCAGUCGAGCCCAGCACCAGCUGGGGGAAUUUAAAACCUGGUUCCAGGAAUACAUGAAC
Molecule: long non-coding RNA, 672 nt
Filed under: Rattus norvegicus (Norway rat)
Lineage: Eukaryota; Metazoa; Chordata; Mammalia; Rodentia; Muridae
Description: long non-coding RNA NONRATT014466
Rfam family: tRNA (bases 162-230)
Source: RNAcentral